CUCUAUUACCCUCUCGCGAGCCCUGACCAGCAAAUCAUCUACCGUCGGGUGCUAUCACCACCGCGAAAUCGAGAUUUAGAGAGGGGAGAUCCGCCGCUAGUGAGCUCGCAAAUCGCGGUUACCCAGGUCUUGGCAUGGUGUUCUGGUGUGGUGGCACGGUGCCUAGGAGCCAUGGCUGCCAUCCCGCCGCUGGACCAUUGGCGCUUGGGCGAUUGCUCGCCGGGCUUGGGAAUUACCGUUGUGCCAUGCUAUGUCGGGGACCAAGCUCACCUCAAUCAAAUCACCGGUGAAGAGCAGGUGGCCCAGGAGGAGGACUACUAUGAGGAGUGUUGGGGGUCUUCUUCCCUGCCAAAGGUCCUCAAGGAAAAAACACCUUCGGACAAGACAAUACAAAGGCAUACACGACAUGAUGACACGGAUGGAAGCCGAAGCUAUGGCUGAAGGAGCUUCGGCUUAGUAAUAUGACGAAGCCAAAGGUCGUCACCGACUCAAGGGAAAAAGACUGUUUAGUCCUUGAUCACUCACAUUAUGAUUGCAUGUAAAUGUUGGGGACAUAAAUGUAAUUAUUUCCGGGCUGUGUCCCGCGCUUAUAAAUAGAUGAAUAGUACCCCCGUACUGUUCACGCUGGAUUGUAAUCUCUCUCAUGCACCAUCUUUGCAUUCUCAUCUUCUAGCGAACCGAAGGUACAAUUGUAUUAAAUACCAUUAAUGUCAAUUCUUACA
Molecule: long non-coding RNA, 722 nt
Organism: Zea mays
Lineage: Eukaryota; Viridiplantae; Streptophyta; Magnoliopsida; Poales; Poaceae
Source: RefSeq, marked validated